Molecule: ribosomal RNA, 305 nt
Filed under: uncultured bacterium
Lineage: Bacteria
Description: bacterial SSU rRNA
Rfam family: Bacterial small subunit ribosomal RNA
Source: RNAcentral
GCCUACGGGGGGCAGCAGUAGGGAAUCUUCCACAAUGGGCGAAAGCCUGAUGGAGCAACGCCACGUGGGUGAAGAAGGUCUUCGGAUCGUAAAACCCUGUUGUUAGAGAAGAAAGUGCGUGAGAGUAACUGUUCACGUUUCGACGGUAUCUAACCAGAAAGCACGGCUAACUACGUGCCAGCAGCCGCGGUAAUACGUAGGUGGCAAGCGUUAUCCGGAUUUAUUGGGCGUAAAGGGAACGCAGGCGGUCUUUUAAGUCUGAUGUGAAAGCCAUCGGCUUAACCGGAGUAGUGCAUUGGAAACUG